RNAcentral lists this transfer RNA (21 nucleotides) under Adiantum capillus-veneris. RNAcentral's name for it is "partial tRNA-His". RNAcentral also lists the same sequence under 4 other names. The record is from RNAcentral. Lineage: Eukaryota; Viridiplantae; Streptophyta; Polypodiopsida; Polypodiales; Pteridaceae.
GGCGGACGUAGCCAAGUGGAU